Molecule: non-coding RNA, 29 nt
Filed under: Rattus norvegicus (Norway rat)
Lineage: Eukaryota; Metazoa; Chordata; Mammalia; Rodentia; Muridae
Source: RNAcentral
UAAAUCUUAAGAUUGUUGGAUAAAGCCUC